Molecule: ribosomal RNA, 502 nt
Filed under: uncultured bacterium
Lineage: Bacteria
Description: partial 16S ribosomal RNA
Rfam family: Bacterial small subunit ribosomal RNA
Source: RNAcentral
GGGGAAUAUUGCACAAUGGGCGAAAGCCUGAUGCAGCGACGCCGCGUGCGGGAUGAAGGCCUUCGGGUUGUAAACCGCUUUUGAUUGGGAGCAAGCGAGAGUGAGUGUACCUUUCGAAUAAGCACCGGCUAACUACGUGCCAGCAGCCGCGGUAAUACGUAGGGUGCAAGCGUUAUCCGGAAUUAUUGGGCGUAAAGAGCUCGUAGGCGGUUUGUCGCGUCUGGUGUGAAAGUCCAUCGCUUAACGGUGGAUCUGCGCCGGGUACGGGCAGGCUAGAGUGCGACAGGGGAGACUGGAAUUCCCGGUGUAACGGUGGAAUGUGUAGAUAUCGGGAAGAACACCAAUGGCGAAGGCAGGUCUCUGGGUCGUCACUGACGCUGAGGAGCGAAAGCGUGGGGAGCGAACAGGAUUAGAUACCCUGGUAGUCCACGCCGUAAACGGUGGAUGCUGGAUGUGGGGCCCAUUCCACGGGUUCCGUGUCGGAGCUAACGCGUUAAGCAUC